Molecule: ribosomal RNA, 253 nt
Filed under: uncultured bacterium
Lineage: Bacteria
Description: partial 16S ribosomal RNA
Rfam family: Bacterial small subunit ribosomal RNA
Source: RNAcentral
UACGUAGGGGGCAAGCGUUGUCCGGAUUCAUUGGGCGUAAAGAGCGUGUAGGCCGCCAGGUAGGUCGGUUGUGAAAACUGGAGGCUCAACCUUCAGAGGUCGACCGAAACCAUCUGGCUAGAGUCCGGGAGAGGAGAGUGGAAUUCCUGGUGUAGCGGUGAAAUGCGCAGAUAUCAGGAAGAACACCCGUGGCGAAAGCGGCUCUCUGGAACGGUACUGACGCUGAGACGCGAAAGCGUGGGGAGCGAACAGG